RNAcentral lists this unclassified non-coding RNA (379 nucleotides) under uncultured Bacteriovoracaceae bacterium. Its description in RNAcentral is "contains 16S-23S intergenic spacer region". Lineage: Bacteria; Pseudomonadati; Bdellovibrionota; Bacteriovoracia; Bacteriovoracales; Bacteriovoracaceae. The record is from RNAcentral.
UCCAGGUUAACCCUGGCAGUCUCCUUAGAGUGCCCAACUUAAUGCUGGCAACUAAGGACAGGGGUUGCGCUCGUUGCGAGACUUAACCCAACAUUUCACAACACGAGCUGACGACAGCCAUGCAGCGCCUGUCUCCGCAUUCCCCGAAGGGCACUCCUACAUCUCUGUAAGAUUCGCGGGAUUUCAAACCCAGGUAAGGUUCUGCGCGUUGCUUCGAAUUAAACCACAUGAUCCACCGCUUGUGCGGGCCCCCGUCAAUUCCUUUGAGUUUUAGUCUUGCGACCGUACUCCCCAGGCGGAGAACUUAACGCGUUAGCUACGUCACGGCAGGGGUUAAUACCUUCCAUAACUAGUUCUCAUAGUUUACGGCGUGGACUAC